This 389-nucleotide ribosomal RNA is filed under the name uncultured bacterium. RNAcentral describes it as "bacterial SSU rRNA". It matches the Rfam family "Bacterial small subunit ribosomal RNA", at positions 28 to 420 of the family's 1533-position model. The record is from RNAcentral.
GACGAACGCUGGCGGCGUGCUUAACACAUGCAAGUCGAGCGGUAAGGCCCUUUCGGGGGUACACGAGCGGCGAACGGGUGAGUAACACGUGGGUGACCUGCCCUUAGCUCUGGGAUAAGCCUGGGGAAACUGGGUCUAAUACCGGAUAUGACUCCAUGACGCAUGUUGUGGGGUGGAAAGCCUUGUGCGGCUAGGGAUGGGCCUGCGGCCUAUCAGCUUGUUGGUGGGGUGGUGGCCACCAAGGCGACGACGGUAGCCGGCCUGAGAGGGCGACCGGCCACACUGGGACUGAGACACGGCCCAGACUCCUACGGGAGGCAGCAGUGGGGAAUCUUGCGCAAUGGGCGAAAGCCUGACGCAGCGACGCCGCGUGGGGAUGACGGCCUCGG